CCUACGGGGGGCAGCAGUAGGGAAUAUUGCGCAAUGGAGGAAACUCUGACGCAGCGACGCCGCGUGCGGGAUGAAGGCCUUUGGGUUGUAAACCGCUUUCAGUAGGGAAGAAGCGAAAGUGACGGUACCUACAAAAGAAGCACCGGCUAACUAUGUGCCAGCAGCCGCGGUAAUACAUAGGGUGCAAGCGUUGUCCGGAAUUAUUGGGCGUAAAGAGCUCGUAGGUCGUUUGUUACGUCGGAUGUGAAAAUCUGAGGCUCAACCUCAGACCUGCAUUCGA
This 280-nucleotide ribosomal RNA is filed under the name uncultured bacterium. RNAcentral describes it as "partial 16S ribosomal RNA". It matches the Rfam family "Bacterial small subunit ribosomal RNA", at positions 338 to 630 of the family's 1533-position model. The record is from RNAcentral.